This 301-nucleotide ribosomal RNA is filed under the name uncultured bacterium. RNAcentral's name for it is "partial 16S ribosomal RNA". It matches the Rfam family "Bacterial small subunit ribosomal RNA", at positions 509 to 807 of the family's 1533-position model. The record is from RNAcentral.
CAGUAGCCGCGGUAAUACGUAGGGUGCAAGCGUUAAUCGGAAUUACUGGGCGUAAAGCGUGCGCAGGCGGUUCUAUAAGACAGAUGUGAAAUCCCCGGGCUCAACCUGGGACCUGCAUUUGUGACUGUAUAGCUAGAGUACGGUAGAGGGGGAUGGAAUUCCGCGUGUAGCAGCGAAAUGCGUAGAUAUGCGGAGGAACACCGAUGGCGAAGGCAAUCCCCUGGACCCGUACUGACGCUCAUGCACGAAAGCGUGGGGAGCAAACAGGAUUAGAGACCCCCGUAGUCCCUGUCUCUUAUAC